Cygnus olor (mute swan) is the source of this 5339-nucleotide long non-coding RNA. RefSeq lists it as uncharacterized. Lineage: Eukaryota; Metazoa; Chordata; Aves; Anseriformes; Anatidae. The transcript is spliced from 5 exons. The record is from RefSeq and is a predicted model, not a curated record.
GGCGGGGCCCGGUUGCCAUGGCAGUGACGUCAAAGGGCGGCGGGGAGCGGGAGCGGAGGCCCGGCAGAGCCUGCCCGGUGCUGGAGGAGGAUGCUGCGGCCGCGCAGAGCCAGGCCCCGGGGCGCGCUUCUUGCUAGAAAACCCGGGAGCGAGGCCGCUGUCAGCGUGUGGGGCUUGGUGCCACGGGCAGCCCGCCGUGUCCCCGCGCUCAGGGGAUGAUUUAGAGGGGCAGGAGUGGUUCGGUAAUGGGAAGCAGCAGUCGUGCUAAGGCGAAACCAGAUUGAGUACAAGAUGGAGAUGAUCCUCCAAAGAUGCCUUUCACCAAAAAAAAAAAAGCGCUCAGUUUCUGCAGACAACCUCAUCGUGUUGGACCAGAGAUACUUCUUACCUUGAAAGAAAAGACAGACUAUGGGCGCAGAUUGGGAAUUGGAAGACUCUCAAGAUAAAACAGAAUUGUCAUGUGGAGGUACCUGUAGCCUAUGUGAAGUGAUUUGUUUUAAUAAUUUCUAGUAAAGCAUCUCCAAGACUACGCCGGAUAAAAUGAUAUAAUUUUGUUGUAGCUCCUUCUGAGGAAUCAGGCAAAAAUUCCUUUUCUGUUAGAGGGACCAAAGAGGCACCCUUUUCCCUCAAAGGGGGACCCUUUUUCUGUUCUUGAUUGCAGGUAAACCUACUAUUGGGGUUUUUAUGAGGGCAAUUCAUUGUAAGUUCUUAAUAACAGAUGUAUUUUUAUUUUUUUUAAUUCUAAAGCAAAAUGAUCUUGGAUUAGCCACUUCCUGCCCCCUGAGGUGGCUGCAAAGAUGACUGAGUACUGCAGAACUUCCUAGGUUACCUAAAAUAAAGACUUAAUUUGACUGGGUAACUUCGUGGGUAUGUUACUGUACCCAGUAGAGAGACAAGGUGUUUUAUAAAUACAUGAUUUCUUCACACUGAACUGUGUUUUCAGCCAGAGGGAAGAAGAGGCUUGGGGGGGAGGGUGUGUGUGUGUCUAACUGCUGCCUUCAAUUGUGUAGUGGAUCACAGAGAAGAAGCCAGGUAAUUCUUGAAGGACAGCAAAAGGAUGAGACACAAUGGACACAAGUUGCAGCAGGAAAUUUCAAUGAAAUGUGACAUUGCAGUAACCUUUAUAACUUCCUUAAGAAGCAAAUGUUAAAGGAGAGCAGUGGAAGAAAUGGUUCAUUGCAACUUAAUGCUCAGCAGCCUAAUUAGCCAAAUACCAUGUGCCUACCUCUGCAUGAAAUAACCCAUUUCUUUCCAAGGUCACCAACUGCUUUGUACAGUUAGACAGUGGCAGUGAUGUAUCGUAGUCUGUUGCUGUAAACAUCCCCGACUGGAAGCUGUAGCAGCUCUAGCUUUCAGUCAGAUGUUUGCUGCACCUGGCUACUCUUGGGCAACGUCCGACAGAAAAGGUGCCGUAACGACACGUGCGUAGAUAUGUAGCUAUUAGUUUCUGUAGACACAGCCGAGCUGCCUUCAAGCAAGUUAACCUGGUUGUUGGUAAUAGUGCUGCUAUGAUCCAUUGAAAUCUUAUCUGUUAUAAAUGGGAGAUGCAAAGUUACUGCACUUGUGUCACUCAGACGUGAGCCUGCUGCGUUGUGGUGCGAGCUACGGAAUUACGCCUCACUGGAACGUAACAGCAAGGGGGGCUUAAUUUCAUGUACAGCUAUCUGUAAACCAGACUUUCAUAAGUUGUCUGUCUUAACAGCUUCUGUUACUUAUGACUCUUAGGAAAAAAUAAUAUGUUGUCAAGUACUUAGCAGGCAGUUCAUCGGAUGUGCCUUGCUGCUUCUUGUUCUUUCUGAAAUUCCAUGUUCUGGGUCUCCUAUGAGUGGGUGGUGCUCUUAUUGUUUGUAAGCUGGAUGUAACCCAAGGCCAAAAUAAAGGUUAAAAAAAAUAACACAGGAUGUAUUUUUGUAGUAACAAUGCAUAAAAUAUAUACUUGUUUGUGGUAUGGUCAUCUUGGUUUGUGCUACCCUCACCAUGGCGUUUGUGCUACCCUCACCAUGGCAUUUACAAAGGAUUAUUCUUUACACAAAAAACAGAUUUUGAAAGUACUUCAAAAUUAACUCUUCACUAGCUGUUGACUUAAAGCAAUCAUUUCAACAAGAACAGCUUCAGCACUCUUCACCGUCCUCUCCACUAGGAAGUGAGACCUGCAAAUGCUGUUUCCUAGAUUUUGUCUGGGAUUUCUUUUCUCCUUUUGUUUCUCUUUAGUCCUUUACUUGUAACAGAUGGGGAGGGGAAUUGCAUGUACAAGUAAACUCUGCACUUUAGGCAGAAAGUAUUCUUGGUCUGCUUUAGCUCCACAUUCCUCCCUCUCUGAAGAAUAUUAACUUUAUAUUCCUUGACACAUGAAAGACAAACUUCAUUUAGUUAUUUGAUGGUAUUAGUCUAGUGGUUAUAGUAAUACCUUGCUAUUGUUUAAUUUCAGCGUAGGGAUUCUGUAGAAGAUCACAUCCAAAGAUACAAAUACUUAAAAUAAAUAAAAUAAGGUUUUCUUAGUCCUGAAGAAGCUAGACAGCAAGCAUUGGAAGGGUAAUGAUUCUGAAGCAGGUAUUGAAUGGCCACUUGUGAACCAAGGACAGCCAUUCUUCUGUGGUGGUCCCAUGACCAUAAAUAAAUAUUAAGCGUCUGUUACCUGGGUCAUCUGUCCAGUAACAGUACCCUGUGGUUAGAGAAGGAAGGUUCUGAACUUGUAUAUCGAUAGCACUGCUACGAAGACUUCUUUUCAAAGUAAUGCGCACACAACAGAAUCUCAGUUAAAAUCUUUUUUUAAAUAUGAUGUUUGGUUUGUGUACUUAUUAAAAAAAAAAAAAUACUUUGAAGCAGGAUCUACAAAUCUUGGUUUCCUUUUUUAAGGAAAAACACAAGUGCUGAUAGUCAUUUUCCAAGCUUUCUUUACUGUAAACAUUUAGCAUUUCCUAGCUCUGUAUAGUAUUUGGACUUAAAAGCAAUGAAGUGUUGCCUGUUAACAUUCUUGACUGAAUGAUCAAAGUAAAUGUUAUCUCUUAGUUAAUCUAAUAGUCAUUUUUGUUAGUGCUCUCUUAGUCUUUCCACAUGCCAGAUAAGUGUAGAGGAAAAACACGCUGUUAGUUCACAUGCGGUUUAUCAGUCCAGUCUUGCGGAACUUUAUUUAUGUAAUAGUAUUAAUACAUAUACUCAAACACAGCUAUCAUGUCUUCACAUGAAAGCAAACUGAAGUGGUGUGCGACUGUAGGAAAUAAAUAAAAAACCCACACUGAGUUUCUGUUUGGGGUUUUCUUGCUAAGUGUUUGAAAUACAAGGAUCUCUUGUUUUCUGUACGUGAAAUACAAACUACUGAACGUCUUAACAUGUCUCAAACAUGGCUGUUGUUUGCGAAUGAAGAAAGUGGAGUUUUUUUAAAAGCUGUUGGCCAAAUGCAUUUUUAUGCAGUGAUACAAGGUGGACUUGUAGUACUGGCACUGCUGGGAAGGGGCUGCUGGGUCAAUGGAUUUUAGGGAUGGAAGAGGCAGGCUUGAUGUCAGCCUAGUCAUCAGCAAAGCAAAUUACUGCAUCUUGUUAAUAUGAAUCUUGUUAAUGUGAAGGCUGUAACUAUGUCUUAUGUUAGAAGAAGACAUAAAUAAGUUUCUAAUAUUUUACAGUCCACUAAUCUGAGAGUGAAAGCAGAUAUCUAAAGGAAGAAAAGGAGGUUGGUGCUCCAGAAGCCAGUGGUGAAAUUGUGAAAGUGCAGCUACUAAUUCCAGGUGACUGUCAUAUACAGUGCAGGUGCAAUGUUUUGGAAAUGAACAUGCAGACGUUUGGAAAUGGAAGAAGCUAGGGUGAAUACCGUGGCCCUUGCUUGCUGAACAAGUAGAAUGCCUGUGAAGCUGAGUGUUUGGGGUCUGGAUUAGUUGCCUGUGGUUUUCUUCUAGGUGUUUUCUCUGACCACUUAAAAGCAAUACGUCAAAGUUCUCAGUAACUUUAGACUGCACAAAGCACUCUCCCCGUGCUGUGAACUCACAGAUGCAUUCAGUAGAAAUGCUUGAUCUCUGUUGUUGUUGUUGUUUGUUGUUUUUUUUUCAUGUAGUGAACCAGCUGUUAAUGUUUGGAGGAGGCCUUCCCCCAGCCUUUGUGUAUGAAAUGAUCUGCAUCUGUGGUUCACUCUUCCCAGUAAAUCUGUAAAACACCUGCUCAGCAAAGAGCUUUGAGAAGGCUGAGACUUGGCCUCUUGGUUGAUUGAGUUUGUAGAAGUAUUCUUUUUUCCUGGAGUGGUAAUAUUUUGUUUGUUCAAGGCUGUGAAUGCUAAAUUAGACACACAUUUAAAAUAAGAUGUUGAAGCUUAAGUAAGUGUCGUGUUCCCUUGCUGUUAAAAUGACUCAUUUCUGAGUAACUAAGUCUGUGUGGAGGAAAAUAAGAAUUAAGAAGAUUGAAAUAACAAGAAGAGUACCUUGAAAAAGUUUUGGAAUGGGAAUUACUUUAAGAAAAUGCAACACAAUUAGGAAGACAUUCAAAUGUAGCAACAAAACUGUAAAAUUUAGCACAUAAAGGAAGCUAUGGAUGUUUUUAGUACAAUACUACAGGAGUUGAAUUAUUGCAUAAACCAUUUGAGAUGGACAUCUCUGAGGACUGUUACCCAAUUUGUACUACCCUGUUGAUGUUCCAUGUAUAUUUUGGUGACGAGUAUAAAUUUUGAAAAUGAUUUGAAUUUGAGUUUUCUGGAAGGUGCCUACUUUGAGCAUCAGGAGUCUUGGCAGGUAAGUGCAACAGAACGCUGAUUGCCGUGGUCUGUGAGAAACUCUUUUUCUUCCUACUUUUUUUCUGAUACCUCUACAGUAUUAGGGACUGUGCAUGUAUAUUCCUGUUCUGAUAUUUACAAGGGUAAAUGUUAAAAAAAUUAAGUGUUCCAACUUUAUUACAUCAGUAAAGCUUGGUAAUUUGCAUGCGCCUUAUGAAUUGCGUAAGUUGUAGCUCACACAAUGUAUUGCAGUAUGUCUGUGCCGAUUCAUUUUUGGAUAUCUUGAAAGCCAAUGCUGUAUUUAUAUUGUUAAGCUAACUUUUAGUUCCUGUAAACAUCCUACACUCAGCUAUAACAAGUGGUGGGGCUGGGGGGUGGAUGUUUACUUCAACUGACUUGGAAAGGCAGCUUUCCUGAAUGAUCAAGUGACAUAUUGGCAAGAACGGAAUACUAUUUUCCAGUAGUAUUCAAAUAAGUUUAUUGUACUGUAAAUACUCUUCUUUUGUGGAAGCAAUGUAUUCCUAUAGAUGUCUUAAUAGUCAAUAUAAACCUUAAUUUGAGCAUGUAAAUACAUGUUUAUUGUAAGUCAGUCUUUAACUGCUAAAACGUGUAUCUUUUUUCUGAUUGCGAAUAAACUGUGCGCCUA